UACGUAGGGGGCGAGCGUUGUCCGGAAUGAUUGGGCGUAAAGGGCGCGUAGGCGGCCUGGUAAGUCUGGAGUGAAAGUCCUGCUUUCAAGGUGGGAAUUGCUUUGGAUACUGUCGGGCUGGAGUGCAGGAGAGGUAAGCGGAAUUCCCGGUGUAGCGGUGAAAUGCGUAGAGAUCGGGAGGAACACCAGUGGCGAAGGCGGCUUACUGGACUGUAACUGACGCUGAGGCGCGAAAGCGUGGGGAGCAAACAGG
Molecule: ribosomal RNA, 253 nt
Filed under: uncultured bacterium
Lineage: Bacteria
Description: partial 16S ribosomal RNA
Rfam family: Bacterial small subunit ribosomal RNA
Source: RNAcentral